Molecule: ribosomal RNA, 922 nt
Filed under: bacterium
Lineage: Bacteria
Description: bacterial SSU rRNA
Rfam family: Bacterial small subunit ribosomal RNA
Source: RNAcentral
UGAAGCCGGGGCUUGCUCUGGUGGAUUAGUGGCGAACGGGUGAGUAACACGUGAGCAACCUGCCCUGGACUCUGGGAUAAGCGCUGGAAACGGCGUCUAAUACUGGAUACGAGACGUGGCCGCAUGGUCAACGUUUGGAAAGAUUUUUCGGUCUGGGAUGGGCUCGCGGCCUAUCAGCUUGUUGGUGAGGUAAUGGCUCACCAAGGCGUCGACGGGUAGCCGGCCUGAGAGGGUGACCGGCCACACUGGGACUGAGACACGGCCCAGACUCCUACGGGAGGCAGCAGUGGGGAAUAUUGCACAAUGGGCGGAAGCCUGAUGCAGCAACGCCGCGUGAGGGAUGACGGCCUUCGGGUUGUAAACCUCUUUUAGCAGGGAAGAAGCGUGAGUGACGGUACCUGCAGAAAAAGCGCCGGCUAACUACGUGCCAGCAGCCGCGGUAAUACGUAGGGCGCAAGCGUUAUCCGGAAUUAUUGGGCGUAAAGAGCUCGUAGGCGGUUUGUCGCGUCUGCUGUGAAAUCCCGAGGCUCAACCUCGGGCCUGCAGUGGGUACGGGCAGACUAGAGUGCGGUAGGGGAGAUUGGAAUUCCUGGUGUAGCGGUGGAAUGCGCAGAUAUCAGGAGGAACACCGAUGGCGAAGGCAGAUCUCUGGGCCGUAACUGACGCUGAGGAGCGAAAGGGUGGGGAGCAAACAGGCUUAGAUACCCUGGUAGUCCACCCCGUAAACGUUGGGAACUAGUUGUGGGGUCCUUUCCACGGAUUCCGUGACGCAGCUAACGCAUUAAGUUCCCCGCCUGGGGAGUACGGCCGCAAGGCUAAAACUCAAAGGAAUUGACGGGGACCCGCACAAGCGGCGGAGCAUGCGGAUUAUUCGAUGCAACGCGAAGAACCUUACCAAGGCUUGACAUACACGAGAACGGGC